GGGGCUAUAGCUCAGCUGGAAGAGCGUCUGGUUUGCAUCCAGAAGGCCAGGGGUUCGAGUCCCCUUAGCUCCA
RNAcentral lists this transfer RNA (73 nucleotides) under Streptosporangiaceae bacterium. RNAcentral describes it as "tRNA-Ala". It matches the Rfam family "tRNA". From Rfam's summary of the family: Transfer RNA (tRNA) molecules are approximately 80 nucleotides in length. Their secondary structure includes four short double-helical elements and three loops (D, anti-codon, and T loops). Lineage: Bacteria; Bacillati; Actinomycetota; Actinomycetes; Streptosporangiales; Streptosporangiaceae. The record is from RNAcentral. RNAcentral also lists the same sequence under 5 other names.